This is a long non-coding RNA of Triticum aestivum (bread wheat), 226 nucleotides long. RefSeq lists it as uncharacterized. The record is from RefSeq and is a predicted model, not a curated record. NCBI's taxonomy places the organism in Eukaryota, Viridiplantae, Streptophyta, Magnoliopsida, Poales, Poaceae. The transcript is spliced from 2 exons.
AUGAUAUACUUUAUGUUCUAUCACAAAUUUGAUUUGUUUUAGGUGAUGUACAUGAAUGGCGGUAGAUGGUUGAGGAUUGAGGGAAUGUAGAUGCGACUAGCGAGCACUUACUCUGAGGUGCUUUCAGAUGAUGGAUUAAUAAGACUGUUUGGACAAAAUUCUGAUUUUUUUAACACUUGUUCCAUGUGCGAAUGUUCUGGGAGCACCAACUCCAACUGCUGACAAG